Rana temporaria (common frog) is the source of this 629-nucleotide long non-coding RNA. RefSeq lists it as uncharacterized. The transcript has 3 exons. NCBI's taxonomy places the organism in Eukaryota, Metazoa, Chordata, Amphibia, Anura, Ranidae. The record is from RefSeq and is a predicted model, not a curated record.
GACCUUCUCUAUGUCUUUGAGGAGCCCCAGCGUUCUCGUGUCGCGCUAUCACGGGGAUGUAGAAGUAGCAGCAUUGCGAUAGAAAGCGUCUCCGAGGAUAAAAGAAAUUUGUCAAACCAGACUUUGGAGUUCUGCCGAAAGCCACUGCCUUCCUACUCCUCAUCCAAUAGCAGCAGCUUCUGCAGCGCACAAGGCAGUGAGAGCUCCCCAGAGGACAAGAUUAUGGACACCUUGAAAUAAAAGUUGAUGAUGUCACCCCAAGAGACCUGCGGACUCUCUGUAUAACACAAGUCCUGAUCCUCUCCAACAAAUCAAAAUGCUCCCUAUUUCAUGGAUGGGGACAGGCUUUGGGGGGUUUGUCCCCAGAAUCCCCUUUCCUUUAGAAAUGCCACUUUGGUUUUAGAAUGAAUCUAGAGGAAUAUCAAAUAUCUAUUUUUCUGCAUGUAUGGAUUCUAAUGUCCUUAGUGUUCGUAAUAUUCACAUGAAAUAUUUAUUGACAAAAAUCUGUAUUUAAUGAUAAAAGAGUAUUUAUUUUCCUGUAGUAAAAUAUAUAAUAUUUAACUGUAUAGCAGAGGGCUUUGAGUUUUAUUACCAUUGUGGGGGAUGGAGAACAUUCUUUGAAAAAUAAA